AUGAUGGGGGUACUGACAUUAACCUGCUGUAUUUACUGUAUUACACAUUUUUGUCAGUUUUUCAUUUCAAGUACUGGAUGGCAUGCUGUCCUAACACUAACUAGUCAGAGCUCAGGUACCACCCAAAAUGCUGCCAUUACAAGUCAGAAAAAGAGAAAUAUAUAUAGUCAGGUUAUCAUCGACUCAGACUUGACAGUGAUGAUUGAUCAUGAAACCGAUGAUUGCAGUGACUUUAAAAAAUGAUGAUUGAUCAUGAAACUAAUGAUUACAGUGACUUUAAAAAUUUUUUUAAUUAUUGCUGUCAUGUCUGAGUACUUCCAGUACUUGUGCACAUCCCUAUUAAACACAUAUACACGGUAUUGAGGUAUGAUGUAAUACUGCAUUGAUGUAUACUGUAAAUGCAAUAAACAUUUUAAUCAUACAUAUUGUCACGUCUUGUUACUUCUGGAUUUUAUUUCUUUUAUUUUUUUUAUUACUUUAUGAACAAUCCUAUUAAAGAAAAUGUAUAGUAUGAUAGAUGUAAGGAUAUUGCUUUAUGGCACCAAGAAAAACACUGGUUCUUUAAAGAACCUUUUUACAAAAUGGUUCUUCAAGGAAUCAAAAAUGAUUCCUCUGUGGCAUUGCUGCAAAACCCCUUUUUUGGUUCUUCCUGGUGCCUUUUUUUUAAAGAGUGUAUGUGGGCUUGCAUUCUUUUCAUUUGGUUAGCUGCUCUAACAUAAUGUUACUGUUCUCUGAAUCACUAAACUAAGAUUCUUGUGCAUAGAAGCAAUAACAUAACUUAGUAUAAAUCACCUAACACAUCAUAAUCACUCUUUCUGCAUUGCAAAUAACAUUUUCUUU
Molecule: long non-coding RNA, 840 nt
Organism: Cyprinus carpio carpio
Lineage: Eukaryota; Metazoa; Chordata; Actinopteri; Cypriniformes; Cyprinidae
Source: Ensembl